ACGGGAGGCAGCAGUGGGGAAUAUUGGGCAAUGGGCGAAAGCCUGACCCAGCAACGCCGCGUGAAGGAAGAAGGCCUUCGGGUUGUAAACUUCUUUUAAGAGGGACGAAUAAAAUGACGGUACCUCUUGAAUAAGCCACGGCUAACUACGUGCCAGCAGCCGCGGUAAUACGUAGGUGGCGAGCGUUGUCCGGAUUUACUGGGUGUAAAGGGCGCGCAGGCGGGAAAGCAAGUCAGAUGUGAAAUCCAUGGGCUCAACCCAUGAACUGCAUUUGAAACUGUUUUUCUUGAGUGUCGGAGAGGUUGACGGAAUUCCUAGUGUAGCGGUGAAAUGCGUAGAUAUUAGGAGGAACACCAGUGGCGAAGGCGGUCAACUGGACGAUAACUGACGCUGAGGCGCGAAAGCGUGGGGAGCAAACAGGAUUAGAUACCCUGGUA
RNAcentral lists this ribosomal RNA (437 nucleotides) under uncultured Oscillospiraceae bacterium. RNAcentral's name for it is "partial 16S ribosomal RNA". It matches the Rfam family "Bacterial small subunit ribosomal RNA", at positions 341 to 792 of the family's 1533-position model. The record is from RNAcentral. Lineage: Bacteria; Bacillati; Bacillota; Clostridia; Eubacteriales; Oscillospiraceae.